Molecule: ribosomal RNA, 251 nt
Filed under: uncultured bacterium
Lineage: Bacteria
Description: partial 16S ribosomal RNA
Rfam family: Bacterial small subunit ribosomal RNA
Source: RNAcentral
CGUAGGGUGCAAGCGUUACUCGGAAUUACUGGGCGUAAAGCGUGCGCAGGCGGUUUUGUAAGUCAGAUGUGAAAUCCCCGGGCUUAACCUGGGAACUGCGUUUGAAACUACAAGGCUAGAGUGUGACAGAGGGGGGUGGAAUUCCACGUGUAGCAGUGAAAUGCGUAGAGAUGUGGAGGAACACCGAUGGCGAAGGCAGCCCCCUGGGUUAACACUGACGCUCAGGCACGAAAGCGUGGGGAGCAAACAGG